This 563-nucleotide ribosomal RNA is filed under the name uncultured Alteromonadaceae bacterium. RNAcentral describes it as "bacterial SSU rRNA". It matches the Rfam family "Bacterial small subunit ribosomal RNA", at positions 527 to 1089 of the family's 1533-position model. The record is from RNAcentral. Lineage: Bacteria; Pseudomonadati; Pseudomonadota; Gammaproteobacteria; Alteromonadales; Alteromonadaceae.
GGAGGGUGCGAGCGUUAAUCGGAAUUACUGGGCGUAAAGCGCACGCAGGCGGUUUGUUAAGCUAGAUGUGAAAGCCCCGGGCUCAACCUGGGAUGGUCAUUUAGAACUGGCAGACUAGAGUCUUGGAGAGGGGAGUGGAAUUCCAGGUGUAGCGGUGAAAUGCGUAGAUAUCUGGAGGAACAUCAGUGGCGAAGGCGACUCCCUGGCCAAAGACUGACGCUCAUGUGCGAAAGUGUGGGUAGCGAACAGGAUUAGAUACCCUGGUAGUCCACACCGUAAACGCUGUCUACUAGCUGUGUGUGUCUUUAAGACGUGCGUAGCGAAGCUAACGCGCUAAGUAGACCGCCUGGGGAGUACGGCCGCAAGGUUAAAACUCAAAUGAAUUGACGGGGGCCCGCACAAGCGGUGGAGCAUGUGGUUUAAUUCGAUGCAACGCGAAGAACCUUACCUACACUUGACAUGCUGAGAAGUUACUAGAGAUAGUUUCGUGCCUUCGGGAACUCAGACACAGGUGCUGCAUGGCUGUCGUCAGCUCGUGUCGUGAGAUGUUGGGUUAAGUCCCG